This 468-nucleotide ribosomal RNA is filed under the name uncultured bacterium. RNAcentral's name for it is "partial 16S ribosomal RNA". It matches the Rfam family "Bacterial small subunit ribosomal RNA", at positions 28 to 507 of the family's 1533-position model. The record is from RNAcentral.
GACGAACGCUGGCGGCGUGCUUAACACAUGCAAGUCGAACGGAAAGGCCCUGCUUUUGUGGGGUGCUCGAGUGGCGAACGGGUGAGUAACACGUGAGUAACCUGCCCUUGACUUUGGGAUAACUUCAGGAAACUGGGGCUAAUACCGGAUAGGAGCUCCUGCUGCAUGGUGGGGGUUGGAACGUUUCGGCGGGUGGGGAUGGACUCGCGGCUUAUCAGCUUGUUGGUGGGGUAGUGGCUUACCAAGGCUUUGACGGGUAGCCGGCCUGAGAGGGUGACCGGCCACAUGGGGACUGAGAUACGGCCCAGACGCCUACGGGAGGCAGCAGGGGGGAAUAUUGCACAAUGGGAGGAAGCCUGAUGAAGAAACGCCGCGUGCGGGAUGACGGCCUUCGGGUUGUAAACCGCUUUAGCCUGUGACGAAGCGUGAGUGACGGUAAUGGGUAAAGAAGCACCGGCUAACUACGUG